This 28-nucleotide non-coding RNA is filed under the name Mus musculus (house mouse). Lineage: Eukaryota; Metazoa; Chordata; Mammalia; Rodentia; Muridae. The record is from RNAcentral.
UACAAUGGGUUUAGGUGGCUAUAGAUGG